This 468-nucleotide ribosomal RNA is filed under the name uncultured bacterium. RNAcentral's name for it is "partial 16S ribosomal RNA". It matches the Rfam family "Bacterial small subunit ribosomal RNA", at positions 28 to 507 of the family's 1533-position model. The record is from RNAcentral.
GACGAACGCUGGCGGCGUGCUUAACACAUGCAAGUCGAACGGAAAGGCCCUGCUUUUGUGGGGUGCUCGAGUGGCUAACGGGUGAGUAACACGUGAGUAACCUGCCCUUGACUUUGGGAUAACGUCAAGAAACUGGGGCUAAUACCUGAUAUUAGCGCCUGCUGCAUGGUGGGGGUUGGAAAGUUUCGGCGGUUGGGGAUGGACUCGCGGCUUAUCAGCUUGUUGGUGGGGUAGUGGCUUACCAAGGCUUUGACGGGUAGCCGGCCUGAGAGGGUGACCGGCGACAUUGGGACUGAGAUACGGCCCAGACGCCUACGGGAGGCAGCAGUGGGGAAUAUUGCACAAUGGGCGGAAGCCUGAUGCAGCAACGCCGCGUGCGGGAUGACGGCCUUCGGGUUGUAAACCGCUUUCGCCUGUGACGAAGCGUGAGUGACGGUAAUGGGUAAAGAAGCACCGGCUAACUACGUG